GUCCUCCCCAAGGCCAUUCACUCACUCUGUCCCUGAGCUCAUGGCCAGGCUGACUGGGGAGGGUGUUUAAGGCACAGACAGGCCCUGAAGUCCCACCCAUUCUACUGCUGGCUCAGCUCACAUUACCUCCUAUUUGGACUUGUUUGCUGCUCACAGUCAAGUUCUCCAAGACCAGGAUUGCUGGCUCUCAGUUUCUAGAACAACCACAGUGGAAGAUGCUGAUUCAUACUUCUGGAAACCAGAAGUGAAGUUACAUCUGGUGCAUUUUCCAAGAGGAGCCUUGUGCUGUGUGUGGCUGCUGUAUUCUACAUAAAGAGCUGCUUUUCCAACAACCAUGUGGAGACUGAAUAAGGGUUUGAAGGAUAAUCAAGGCUGAGGCCAUGUUCUCCAUCUGCUGAAGCUUUUGGUCACUCAGCCUUCUAGAGGCAGUUACUGUUAAGCCAAGAUCUCAAGCUUCCAGGUCCCAUUCUUGGGUCCUUCCUUAGGUUCAUUGCUUGGAGUUGGUUUUCUCAAUAAAGGAACUUGAACAUUAUUUAAGUUUUGGGCCUUCCAAAAUCUAAAUCAGCCUCACUUUCAGACAGAAAGUUUUCUUUUUGUCACUUGCCUUCUUCCAGCCACAGAUAAAACGGGAGGCGAACAGGUUGUUAUGUGUUACUGCUAGGUCGCUUGGUUGGAGUUCUAUAAACAUAGUACUGAGAAGAGUUCUGAAGGACUGCUGCUAUUCAGAUUGAUUAAUAAUGUCUGCCUUGGUUGAAGGCAGAGGUAGGCCAUCUUAGUAGUCAAGUAUUUAUGUGCUGGACAGUCAUAGAUGGUGUUCUAGUUUGCUUUCUAUUGCUUUGAACACAAUCAUCAAAGCAACUUGGAAGUGUUAUUUCGUUUACAGAUCUGGAUCACAGUUAGUCAUUGAAAAAAGUCAGAGCAAGA
This 924-nucleotide long non-coding RNA is filed under the name Cricetulus griseus (Chinese hamster). Its description in RNAcentral is "lncRNA (ENSCGRG00000024879.1)". Lineage: Eukaryota; Metazoa; Chordata; Mammalia; Rodentia; Cricetidae. The record is from RNAcentral.